CUUGCUUCUCUGAUGGUUAGCGGCGGACGGGUGAGUAACACGUAGGCAACCUGCCCUCAAGCUUGGGACAACUACCGGAAACGGUAGCUAAUACCGAAUAGUUGUUUUCUUCUCCUGAAGAGAACUGGAAAGACGGAGCAAUCUGUCACUUGGGGAUGGGCCUGCGGCGCAUUAGCUAGUUGGUGGGGUAACGGCUCACCAAGGCGACGAUGCGUAGCCGACCUGAGAGGGUGAUCGGCCACACUGGGACUGAGACACGGCCCAGACUCCUACGGGAGGCAGCAGUAGGGAAUCUUCCGCAAUGGGCGAAAGCCUGACGGAGCAAUGCCGCGUGAGUGAUGAAGGUUUUCGGAUCGUAAAGCUCUGUUGCCAGGGAAGAACGCUUGGGAGAGUAACUGCUCUCAAGGUGACGGUACCUGAGAAGAAAGCCCCGGCUAACUACGUGCCAGCAGCCGCGGUAAUACGUAGGGGGCAAGCGUUGUCCGGAAUUAUUGGGCGUAAAGCGCGCGCAGGCGGUCAUUUAAGUCUGGUGUUUAAUCCCGGGGCUCAACCCCGGAUCGCACUGGAAACUGGGUGACUUGAGUGCAGAAGAGGAGAGUGGAAUUCCACGUGUAGCGGUGAAAUGCGUAGAUAUGUGGAGGAACACCAGUGGCGAAGGCGACUCUCUGGGCUGUAACUGACGCUGA
Molecule: ribosomal RNA, 686 nt
Filed under: Paenibacillus sp. FJAT-17102
Lineage: Bacteria; Bacillati; Bacillota; Bacilli; Caryophanales; Paenibacillaceae
Description: bacterial SSU rRNA
Rfam family: Bacterial small subunit ribosomal RNA
Source: RNAcentral